RNAcentral lists this ribosomal RNA (465 nucleotides) under Vreelandella stevensii. Its description in RNAcentral is "partial 16S ribosomal RNA". It matches the Rfam family "Bacterial small subunit ribosomal RNA", at positions 338 to 795 of the family's 1533-position model. Lineage: Bacteria; Pseudomonadati; Pseudomonadota; Gammaproteobacteria; Oceanospirillales; Halomonadaceae. The record is from RNAcentral.
CCUACGGGUGGCUGCAGUGGGGAAUAUUGGACAAUGGGCGAAAGCCUGAUCCAGCCAUGCCGCGUGUGUGAAGAAGGCCUUCGGGUUGUAAAGCUCUUUCAGUGGGGAAGAAAGCCUUGGGGCUAAUACCCUCGAGGAAGGACAUCACCCACAGAAGAAGCACCGGCUAACUCCGUGCCAGCAGCCGCGGUAAUACGGAGGGUGCGAGCGUUAAUCGGAAUUACUGGGCGUAAAGCGCGCGUAGGCGGUCUGAUAAGCCGGUUGUGAAAGCCCCGGGCUCAACCUGGGAACGGCAUCCGGAACUGUCAGGCUAGAGUGCAGGAGAGGAAGGUAGAAUUCCCGGUGUAGCGGUGAAAUGCGUAGAGAUCGGGAGGAAUACCAGUGGCGAAGGCGGCCUUCUGGACUGACACUGACGCUGAGGUGCGAAAGCGUGGGUAGCAAACAGGAUUAGAUACCCCGGUAGUC